This 386-nucleotide long non-coding RNA is filed under the name Fukomys damarensis (Damara mole-rat). RNAcentral's name for it is "lncRNA (ENSFDAG00000030763.1)". Lineage: Eukaryota; Metazoa; Chordata; Mammalia; Rodentia; Bathyergidae. The record is from RNAcentral.
CUCUCCUUGUGCUUCUUCUGAGAGGAGGAGCCUGCUUGGAAUGACUUAUAUCACCAUUCGGAGCUAAAACUGCCCUCUUCAAAGUCCACAGAAAUGGUGCAGAAGAUGCAGAAUAAUUUGGACUAAACAUAAACUCUGCCACACUCAAGGAGCAACGGAUAAGCAGCGCCGCCAUGGAACCAGUGAUCAGAGGGGGCAAUGGGACGGUGUCUUCCUAACUCCAAACCAUGAGCAGUGUCCGGAGCCUGUCUAACCUCUCAGACCGUGGGAGGCGAUGGCAUUUAAUGUAUUGGCUGGAUGGCACAGCAUUCCAUUUAAUGAAGUCAAAUGAGGGCUACAUCUUCAAUUUUCUGAGCCUAACGAUCAAACAGAAGCAGCCUAGAUAA